This 829-nucleotide ribosomal RNA is filed under the name uncultured bacterium. Its description in RNAcentral is "bacterial SSU rRNA". It matches the Rfam family "Bacterial small subunit ribosomal RNA", at positions 9 to 858 of the family's 1533-position model. The record is from RNAcentral.
GAGUUUGAUCCUGGCUCAGAAUGAACGUUGGCGGCGUGGAUUAGGCAUGCAAGUCGAACGAAUCCCUGGGGCAACUCGGGGGGAAGUGGCGAAAGGGGCAGUAAGGCAUAGGUAAUCUACCCUGGGGUGGGGCAUAGCUAUUCUAACGAAUAGGUAAUUCCCCGCGUUGUAGCGUGUCCGCAUGGACGUGCUACGAAAGAAUCUCGCCUCGGGAGGAGCCUAUGUGAUAUUAGCUAGUUGGUGGGGUAACGGCCCACCAAGGCUUAGAUGUCUAGCGGGUGUGAGAGCACGACCCGCGCCACUGGCACUGAGACACUGGCCAGACACCUACGGGUGGCUGCAGUCGAGGAUCUUCGUCAAUGGGCGAAAGCCUGAACGAGCGACGCCGCGUGAGCGAUGAAGGCCUUCGGGUUGUAAAGCUCUUUAGGGGGGGAGAAAAACUGAUCUAUCCCCAAAAUAAGCUCGGGCUAAGUUCGUGCCAGCAGCCGCGGUAAGACGAACCGAGCAAACGUUAUUCGGAAUCACUGGGCUUAAAGGGCGCGUAGGCGGGUUGCCAAGUCGGUGGUGAAAUCCUCCAGCUUAACUGGAGAACUGCCGCGGAUACUGGCGACCUAGAGGAAGGUAGGGGCAUCUGGAACUGGUGGUGGAGCGGUGAAAUGCGUUGAUAUCAUCAGGAACUCCGGUGGCGAAGGCGAGAUGCUGGCCCUUUACUGACGCUGAGGCGCGAAAGCCAGGGGAGCAAACGGGAUUAGAUACCCCGGUAGCCCUGGCCCUAAACGAUGAGAACUAGAUAGUGGACUUACCAUGGGUUCACUGUCGAAGCAAAAGU